GAAGGUAUAGCUCAGUGGUAGAGUGCAUGCCUAGCAUGCAUAAGGUCCAGGGUUCAAUUCCCAGUACCUUCA
This 72-nucleotide transfer RNA is filed under the name Camelus bactrianus (Bactrian camel). It matches the Rfam family "tRNA". From Rfam's summary of the family: Transfer RNA (tRNA) molecules are approximately 80 nucleotides in length. Their secondary structure includes four short double-helical elements and three loops (D, anti-codon, and T loops). Lineage: Eukaryota; Metazoa; Chordata; Mammalia; Artiodactyla; Camelidae. RNAcentral also lists the same sequence under 2 other names. The record is from Rfam by way of RNAcentral.